Non-coding RNA from Anas platyrhynchos (mallard), 536 nucleotides. The record is from RefSeq and is a predicted model, not a curated record. NCBI's taxonomy places the organism in Eukaryota, Metazoa, Chordata, Aves, Anseriformes, Anatidae.
UUAAAAAUAUUUGUCUACAUAUUCUUUAAAUGUUCUCCUUCAGGAAAAAGAGGCAGUCUCUCAAUUCAUACUUCAACUUCUCCAUUUUGAAUAGUUUAAUUAGCUGACUCAAUCCACAGGUGUUUUACAUGAAUGGAUAGAACACGUGAUUCUUUUAAUUCAGUGAUUCAUAUUUCAGUUUUUAAGCUACAUUUCCCUUCAAGGUUUUCAGUCACUCCAUGAUUUGUCAUUUUAGCAUUUGUAAAGCAACUCACCUUUCUGACAACUGUAAAAGUGACUAGUCAUAAUUUAUUUUAUGGCUGCAUUUUGGAGUUCCUAAGGGGCUCUUCUCUGGAAAUCAUUUCUUAAUUUCAGCGAAGCUCCAUUCUUCAACUUUCUCCUCAUUUAUGCUGGCAGAUGCUUUUGUGAUAUAUCAACGCCCAUCCUUGACAGCUGUCUCCUCAACAGGAUAGAGAAAAUGAGUGCUUCAUAUACAAUGUGAUUAUUUCAUUUUAGCGUGCAUUGCAGACUAAUAAAGUACUUAGACCACAAUGAAA